Molecule: ribosomal RNA, 253 nt
Filed under: uncultured bacterium
Lineage: Bacteria
Description: partial 16S ribosomal RNA
Rfam family: Bacterial small subunit ribosomal RNA
Source: RNAcentral
UACAGAGGUGGCAAGCGUUGUUCGGAAUUACUGGGCGUAAAGGGCGAGUAGGUGGCCAUCUAAGUCAGACGUGAAAUCCCCCGGCUUAACCUGGGAACUGCGUCUGAUACUGGACGGCUUGAGUAUGGGAGAGGAACGUAGAAUUCCAGGUGUAGCGGUGAAAUGCGUAGAUAUCUGGAGGAAUACCGGUGGCGAAGGCGGCGUUCUGGACCAUUACUGACACUGAAACGCGAAAGCUAGGGGAGCAAACGGG